This is a non-coding RNA of Pelobates cultripes (western spadefoot toad), 336 nucleotides long. Lineage: Eukaryota; Metazoa; Chordata; Amphibia; Anura; Pelobatidae. The record is from the annotation of a GenBank genome assembly.
GUGUAGGUGGAAGCAGCGGUGGAGGAGGAGGAUGAGGUAGCCAACACCGUUUUUUAUAUAUAUAUAUUUUUUUUAAUUGGGGUAGCCCCCAAAAUAUUGGGACAUAUAAAAAAAGACAACUCUGUUCCGCAGAGUAGCUGUUGACAUUAUAGUUGAGCAGGCACUUUGUUGACUCUAGAGAACCUCGGGCCAAUCGCACAUACCUGUGACGUCGACUUUGCAUUCGGAUGUCAUCCAUAUCAACUGCGCCUACCAUGGUGACCACAGGUAACGGGGAAUCAGGGUUCCAUUCCAUACAGGGACCCUGAGAAACGGCUACCACAUGCAAGGAAGGCA